CAGCCGCCGCGGGAAUACGGAGGGGGCUAGCGUUGUUCGGAAUUACUGGGCGUAAAGCGCACGUAGGCGGCUUUGUAAGUUAGAGGUGAAAGCCCGGAGCUCAACUCCGGAAUUGCCUUUAAGACUGCAGAGCUAGCAGGUGAGAGAGGUGAGUGGAAUUCCGAGUGUAGAGGUGAUAUUCGUAGAUAUUCGGAAGAACACCAGUGGCGAAGGCGGCUUACUGGCUCAUACUGGACGCUGAGGUGCGAAAGCGUGGGGAGCAAACAGGAUUAGAUAACCCAGUAGUCCCUGUCUCUUAUAC
This 301-nucleotide ribosomal RNA is filed under the name uncultured bacterium. Its description in RNAcentral is "partial 16S ribosomal RNA". It matches the Rfam family "Bacterial small subunit ribosomal RNA", at positions 509 to 807 of the family's 1533-position model. The record is from RNAcentral.